UACAUCAUGACUGGAAAAUGUCUUGUUUUUAAUUUAAUUUCCUUUGAUUGUUUAUUUUUCUCUAUCCAAUUUGUUAAUUCCUCAUUAACAGUUCGUGUUUACAGCCAUUAUCUUUGAGUUUCUAUUUCGGUUCUCGUUAUAUUCGCCAUCGUCAUGAGACUUGAGCUCAAGUGAAUCACUUGAAGUGAUCAUUAACAAAGUCAACCAUUUUUACCAAACAUUUUUUUUUCAUUUAUCUCUUUUUUCUCUGUCCUUCUCUCCCUACCUCUUGGUCAUUUUGCUAUUAACAGAUUCUUCGUCCAUUUUAAUCAUUAUCAUGAUCUUUUAAUUUUGUUUAAACAUAUCAAGCUGCUGUUAAUUUGACAUGCAAUCUCUCUUUACCAUCUCCUCAACUCUUUCAUCAAUCUUGAAUGCAAUUAUAUGUUACACCGGCUUCUACCCUGCUCAUCAAGUGUUAACUACCUCAUUAACCUUUUACCCCUUCCACUCUCUUUUGCAGGGUAAAGAGAAGGCUUAAGUGAAAAAAAGAAAGAAUGGAAAGCCCAGAGAGAAUGGAAGAAAAAAGCAGACGAGAGAAGAAAAGAGUUUCUCUGGAUUCCAUAAAUUUUGCCGUUGAUUAAUGAUUAUUUUGACUUGUUUUUCAUUGCCUUUUACCAUGAGUUACCGGAUGUUGUUAGAAAUAAAUAAUCACUAGGACUUCUGAUCUUCUCGUCAUUAUGUCAGUUUAUCACUUUCUAGUUUCACUUUAAGGAAGCAAAGAGGAAAGCUACCAUGACUUGGUAAAUUUAUCACUCACCAUUUCAUUAUAUGCUGUUCAUUUUCAAGUUAUAACCAGUCAUUUCUUUUGGUUACAAUUACUCAGCGCUUCGUUAAUUCAUUGUAUCGUUUAAAGCCUCUAAUUACACAGGAGCUAGAAACAAUUACCUGAUACCUUAAUAAGUCAUCUACUUUUGGGUUGUCAUAACUUUUUAAUUUAGCUACUCUUUCAUCUGGCUUGCUGUUACUGUUUGUCAUCAUCAUCACCAUAAAAAAUAAUCAUGAUCAUCACCAGUAUAAACAUUUUUACCAAGCACCUUGAACUCUAACCCAUAGAGUAAAACUUAUGACUUGAAGGAUGGAAAGGAAAGAAAAGUGCAAAGUCAAAAAGUGUUCCAACCUCGCCCCUCUCAACACUGAUUUUUCCAGACAAAAAUAACGAUAAUGGAAAUGAUAAUUGUUAAACUGCAACGGCAACAACGUUUUCCCUAUCAAUGAAACAUGGAGAACAGAAAAAGUCAUUUAGCCAGUUUAACUAAUAGUCAACCAACGAUUAGCGAUUCAAAGUUGAUGACAAGCCCUGUUCAGAUGAAAAGUGAUAAUUAUCAACAUCAAAAUUAAUCAAAAGCAUAACAGUGAAAACAAUUUUAUUUGUAUGCAAAUGAUUACCAUGAUAAUCACCGUCACCCUCAUCAUCAUGAAUCAAUAUAAAUUAUUGUUUAAUGCAAUAAUUAAAAAUAUGCCAGCCAGUGUAAAAAAAGUAAACUUUAAGUUGUCAGAAGAAGAGAAAAAAAGUUAAUUAUUACAUUUUAAUCAAACAUAUUACUAUUUAAAGUAAUCAGCGUAAUGUAAAACAAUUAAUAAUGGCAAUAAUGAUGAUGAUUAUGGUUAUGUUGCCGAUCAACUCUACAAAUCAUCAAUUUAAAUUGAAACCUGGAAACAGCUUUUUUUUGCUCGAAUCGUUAAAAGUGUGAUUCCAUUUCAAUGGUAAUUAUUCAUUUUUGGCCAUUGACUAAUUGAUUAAUGUUAAUCAUUAUUGAUUAACUUAAACAUUGACACAACAAACAGCAACAUGGACACAAGAUUAGCCAAGUUAAAGGAUGGGUCCAACAAAGAUGCCUGUAAAUUGUAUAAGCUGCCAUAACCUUAAAAAUGGUGUUAGACAAAUUGAGGUUGGAACUGGCAAAUUUGAAUAAUCUUGAAGGAAAGGAGGAAUGAAAAGAAACUCAUAAAUCUCAAUAUUUGGUGCCUUUUUAAAUGGAACAUUAUUAUCAUCAUUAUUCCUUCUCUCUGGCUCUUCCUAAGUCUUCCAAUCCAAACAGCCUCGUAAUUUUGUGUUUAUGUGAUUCAUACACAAUUAAGUCUUAAAGAUGGAUCCAGGGAAAGCAAUGGUACAAAAAAUAACAACAUGAAACAGAAACGCUUUUUAUUAUUAUUAUUAUGUAUUUAUCUAGGAGAUUGAAAGGAAACAGGAAAUGUUGCCCAAAGAAUUAUUAGUUAUUAUUAUUACUUAUGAUGAUAAAUGGUUAUUUCAGUUUUGCGCUUAUUAACAUCAUAACCAUCAUCAUAUUGAUAAGAUUGAUAAUAUAUUUAUCUUGAUAGUUAUUCUGGGUGCCAAUUAUUUUUAUAUUAUAUGCAUCUUCAUGUUCAAUUGAAAUUAAGAUUAAUGAGUUGCUACAACUUUUCCAUGCAACUUUUGUUUACCCAUUUCUUUUUCACUUCAACAAAGGUAAUAAAUUACAUUACUUUUGGCA
Molecule: non-coding RNA, 2510 nt
Organism: Tetranychus urticae (two-spotted spider mite)
Lineage: Eukaryota; Metazoa; Arthropoda; Arachnida; Trombidiformes; Tetranychidae
Source: RefSeq, a predicted model, not a curated record